RNAcentral lists this ribosomal RNA (253 nucleotides) under uncultured bacterium. RNAcentral describes it as "partial 16S ribosomal RNA". It matches the Rfam family "Bacterial small subunit ribosomal RNA", at positions 524 to 776 of the family's 1533-position model. The record is from RNAcentral.
UACGUAGGGGGCAAGCGUUGUCCGGAUUUAUUGGGCGUAAAGAGCGUGUAGGCGGCCAGACAGGUCCGUUGUGAAAACUCGAGGCUCAACCUCGAGAUGUCGAUGGAAACCGUCUGGCUAGAGUCCGGAAGAGGAGUGUGGAAUUCCUGGUGUAGCGGUGAAAUGCGCAGAUAUCGGGAAGAACACCCGUGGCGAAGGCGCUGCUCUGGGCCGAUACUGACGCUGAGGAGCGAAAGCGUGGGUAGCAAACAGG